RNAcentral lists this unclassified non-coding RNA (342 nucleotides) under uncultured bacterium. Its description in RNAcentral is "contains 16S-23S intergenic spacer region". The stretch from base 1 to 125 matches the Rfam family "5.8S ribosomal RNA", at positions 30 to 154 of the family's 154-position model. The record is from RNAcentral.
GCAUCGAUGAAGAACGCAGCGAAAUGCGAUAAGUAGUGUGAAUUGCAGAAUUCAGUGAAUCAUCGAAUCUUUGAACGCACAUUGCGCCCUUUGGUAUUCCUUAGGGCAUGCCUGUUCGAGCGUCAUCUAAACCUUCAAGCACUGCUUGGUGUUGGGUGCCUGUCCCGCCCCCGCGCGUGGACUCACCUCAAAUCCAUUGGCGGCCCUCACGUCGGCUUCGAGCGCAGCAGAAACGCGAACUCGACGCCCGUCGGAGCGGCUCCCAGAAGCUACAUUCACCAUUUUGACCUCGGAUCAGGUAGGGAUACCCGCUGAACUUAAGCAUAUCAAUAAGCGGAGGAC